RNAcentral lists this transfer RNA (72 nucleotides) under Bos taurus (domestic cattle). It matches the Rfam family "tRNA". Rfam says of the family: Transfer RNA (tRNA) molecules are approximately 80 nucleotides in length. Their secondary structure includes four short double-helical elements and three loops (D, anti-codon, and T loops). RNAcentral also lists the same sequence under 4 other names. Lineage: Eukaryota; Metazoa; Chordata; Mammalia; Artiodactyla; Bovidae. The record is from Rfam by way of RNAcentral.
UCCCUCAUAGCUCAGUCGGUAAAGAAUCUGCCUGCCAGGCAGAAGACCCGGGUUCAAUUCCUGAGUCGGGAA